CGCGUAGGCGGGAAUGCAAGUCAGAUGUGAAAACUCCGGGCUCAACUUGGAGAUUGCAUUUGAAACUGUGUUUCUUGAGGGCAGGAGAGGAAAGUGGAAUUCCUAGUGUAGCGGUGAAAUGCGUAGAUAUUAGGAGGAACACCAGUGGCGAAGGCGACUUUCUGGACUGUACCUGACGCUGAGGCGCGAAAGCGUGGGUAGCAAACGG
RNAcentral lists this ribosomal RNA (208 nucleotides) under uncultured bacterium. RNAcentral describes it as "partial 16S ribosomal RNA". It matches the Rfam family "Bacterial small subunit ribosomal RNA", at positions 568 to 775 of the family's 1533-position model. The record is from RNAcentral.